RNAcentral lists this transfer RNA (71 nucleotides) under Ictidomys tridecemlineatus (thirteen-lined ground squirrel). RNAcentral's name for it is "Spermophilus tridecemlineatus (thirteen-lined ground squirrel) tRNA". It matches the Rfam family "tRNA". Rfam says of the family: Transfer RNA (tRNA) molecules are approximately 80 nucleotides in length. Their secondary structure includes four short double-helical elements and three loops (D, anti-codon, and T loops). Lineage: Eukaryota; Metazoa; Chordata; Mammalia; Rodentia; Sciuridae. The record is from Rfam by way of RNAcentral.
GGGGAUAUAGCUCAGCUGGUAGAGUGCUUGCCUUACAUGCACUAGGCCCAGGGUUCAAUCCCUUAGCACCU